UGUGGAUUUAGCUCGAACAAUUUUAUUUCGAAAUCGUACGUCAUUUAGGGGCGUCUCAAAAAAUGACUUUUUAUACGUACCGAAUUUGGGAAAAUUUCCUUCAUGAAAGUUGUAGAGCUCAUCGAUACGAUCGCGUGCAUAUGCGGAACACAAAAAUCGGAGUUCGUAUGAAUUUAUUAUGAAUUUUGGAAUAAAUUUCCAGUUUAGUAUAUAUUUCCAUUUUUGGAAAUUUCCAAAAAAAUCAUUUCAGUUUCCAAAAUUGGAAACCGGUUCUCUCUCUCUCUCUCUCCCGCGCUCGAAGCCGGCCGGAAACUGGGUUUCCCUUCGCCGGCGUUGUUCUUGCUCCACAGGCCACCAAUCUUCACCAAACUUCUUCCAUUGGCUUCGUAUGAUCCUUGCGCACCCGUCUGUGGCAGCCUUGCACGGUGGAGUGGCCUGUAUCGGCGGCGGCGAGCUCAUUCCGAUUUGAGUUCGAUUUUAGUCAACGCCGGUUUUCUCAUAGUUCCGGCCACCAAAACUUCCGAUACUUAGCUCCAUGAACUCACCUCAACCUGCUGAUCAUCAUACUAGAAGGAUUUCACCUGGAGUGACCGGUUUCACGUUCGUCGGAGCUCGGUCUGUUUUCGAUCCGAAACGAAAAUCUUUCGAUCGGGAUAUCUCGAGCUAUAGUGCAUCGUUUUGAUUGAUUCUUGAUCCAGUGGGUUCGGCUUGAUGUUCUUAACAACUCUCUAGAAGGAAUCAAGGCCUGAAAUUGAAGUUUUUACGUCGAAAAUCGAGCUCGCCGGUUUCUGGAAAUUUUCCGGCCACCUUCAUACUGUUCAAGGUGAUUGGCGGUCUUCCUUGGUGAGCGGUUUUGGCGUGUUUUGUGAAAUUGAAGACGCAGUGGGAUUAGAGCGGGUAAUCCUGCAGGUUAGGAGAAUCAGGGCGGAGAUCGUGCGGAUUAGAGUAUGGUUUUAGUUUUACAGUGAUUGUAAUAGUGAGGUGAGUGAUGCUCAAUUUGAGCUUUACAUAUUUACUUUGUAUAAGUGAGUUGUAAUAAUAAAUUUGAGAUUUGAAAUCUGAGUGACUUGUAUUCUAGUUGAUUUUUCAUGUUUCGGAUUUUGAAUUUGUUAUUCAAAAUUCGGGGCGUGACAGUUUAUCUUCACGGGGAGAAUGAGUUUUUUGAUGAGAUGUUUGUUGGUGGAGCAUUGAAGAAAAAUCAUGAGGGUGAAGAAGAAUGUAUUGACGACCAUGAUCCAACUGGUUGAAGUAUUCAAAUCAACCAAUCAAUGACAGAUCCAAAGGAACAAAGAAGCUUGAUUGACCGGUCAAACUUAUCCAUCGACCAGUCGAAUCCUAAUGAGCAUAGUAUUGACCAGUCGAAUUCUGUGGCAGAAGAGCACAAAACUUUUUUCAACCAAUCAGAAAAUCAAGCCGAAGAACCUUUGACAGUGACUCCCUCUCCUCAUUUAUCCCUCAUUGACCAAGAUUUUCCAAGUUCUGAAGAUCAUCUGGAGGGAAAUAAUACCAAGGAGUCAAGGACUCAAGGAGCAGCGAAUCGGCAGUGGGGGUGCCAUCUUCAACUUCAGGUAAGCAUUUCAACUCUUCUUAACCAUCCAUCUUCAAUUUUGAUUGACUAAACUAAUGUUGAUUGAUGGGUGCAACGGUAAAAAGCCAUACUAUCUUUGGUGCAGAAAAACCAACCGGCUUUGGCUCUUUGAUUGGUCCCAAAGGUUCAGGCCUUCACGAUUGGAUAACGACGUCGUCGUCUUCCUUGGCGCCCUAUAUUUACUGGGGUUACAAUCUCCUUCUGUCCGGAAAGGUUGCGCCAGAGAUUGGGCUUCUCACUAAGCUCGAUCGUGAACCUCACAAUUGCCGUCGGCCUACCUUGCACAAUCGAUGGCAUCACCUCGAUUGGAUCUGCACCUUCACCGACGUAACACCUCCGUGAGGAGGACAUGCGGCGCGAGGUGGUGAUAAUGAAGGAUCUGCCUUAGAAUUCGAGAAUUACCGGCCAUCUGGCCGGGAAACUUUCUUUGGCGAGGAGAGAGAGAGAGAGAGAGAGAGAGGGAAGAGUGGAUUAAUGAUGUAAUUUAUUUUUUAGGUUGAGGUCAGAAUGGUCAUUUUACUUUAAAUUGGGCUAGUGAGAAUAAAAAUUUGUUGUUGGGGUAAGUGAGAUAACUUUGGCUCAUUUUGGGGCUUUUGGUCAAGGACCUCAGUAAAAAAUGGGACACCUAUAAUUAGGUAAAGAAAUGUACGUGUAUUAUUCGGUUUACCUAAUCUAAUGAUACGGUCAAAUAUUCGGUCAAAAAAACGCGAUACGGCAAAUUUAUAAAUUUGAAU
This is an RNA transcript of Rosa chinensis, 2322 nucleotides long. RefSeq lists it as uncharacterized. The transcript is spliced from 4 exons. The record is from RefSeq and is a predicted model, not a curated record. NCBI's taxonomy places the organism in Eukaryota, Viridiplantae, Streptophyta, Magnoliopsida, Rosales, Rosaceae.